CUUGGUCAUUUAGAGGAAGUAAAAGUCGUAACAAGGUUUCCGUAGGUGAACCUGCGGAAGGAUCAUUAACUAUGCUAACGCAUAACUUUAGCUCGUGGCCUUUCGGGGCUGCUGAGUGACCACCCUUUGUGAACUAUUAUUUUUUUGCUUCGGCAGCACGCCCUCACGGGUGGUAAGGCUGCCGACAGCCCAUACCAUAAACUAUUUUGUUACCAAAACCAUGCAGUCUGAUUUUCUGAUAAAUUUUAAAAGUUAAAACUUUCAGCAACGGAUCUCUUGGUUCUCGCAUCGAUGAAGAACGCAGCGAAACGCGAUAGGUAAUGUGAAUUGCAGAAUUCCGUGAAUCAUCGAAUCUUUGAACGCACAUUGCGCCUUCUGGUAUUCCGGUAGGCAUGUCUGUCUGAGCGUCAGCAAACACCCUCAGCUGAGUAUUUUUUAAAAGUAUUCACGCUGGUCUUGGGCUUGGAAGCUGGGUUUAACACCCCUGCGCCUGCCCUAAACUUGCUGCACGACCGCUGGCUUCGGCUGGGUCAAUGGAGUGGUGUCACAAUCUUCCAGAAGACUUUCAACUGUAGCGCGGUGGCGUUAAACCUGCUGUCCGAAAGGACCGAAGUUUUGACCUCAGAUCAGAUAAGGAUACCCGCUGAACUUAAGCAUAUCAAUAAGCGGAGGAAAAGAAACCAACAGGGAUUGCCUCAGUAACGGCGAGUGAAGCGGCAAGAGCUCAGAUUUGAAAUCCGGUAGGUUUACCUGCUUGAGUUGUAAUCUGCAGAGGAAGUUUCGGCUUAGAUACCGGUCCAGAUUCCUUGGAAUAGGAUGACAUAGAGGGUGAGAAUCCCGUGCCUGGCCGGCCGUCAACGCCAUGUGAAGCUCCUUCGACGAGUCGAGUUGUUUGGGAAU
RNAcentral lists this small RNA (900 nucleotides) under uncultured Vermispora. RNAcentral describes it as "eukaryotic LSU rRNA". The stretch from base 617 to 900 matches the Rfam family "Eukaryotic large subunit ribosomal RNA", at positions 1 to 281 of the family's 3401-position model. Lineage: Eukaryota; Fungi; Ascomycota; Orbiliomycetes; Orbiliales; Orbiliaceae. The record is from RNAcentral.